RNAcentral lists this transfer RNA (90 nucleotides) under Humidesulfovibrio sp. RNAcentral describes it as "tRNA-Leu". It matches the Rfam family "tRNA". Rfam says of the family: Transfer RNA (tRNA) molecules are approximately 80 nucleotides in length. Their secondary structure includes four short double-helical elements and three loops (D, anti-codon, and T loops). Further hydrogen bonds mediate the characteristic L-shaped molecular structure. tRNAs have two regions of fundamental functional importance: the anti-codon, which is responsible for specific mRNA codon recognition, and the 3' end, to which the tRNAs corresponding amino acid is attached (by aminoacyl-tRNA synthetases). tRNAs cope with the degeneracy of the genetic code in two manners: having more than one tRNA (with a specific anti-codon) for a particular amino acid; and 'wobble' base-pairing, i.e. permitting non-standard base-pairing at the 3rd anti-codon position. The record is from RNAcentral. Lineage: Bacteria; Pseudomonadati; Thermodesulfobacteriota; Desulfovibrionia; Desulfovibrionales; Desulfovibrionaceae.
GCCGGGGUGGCGGAACUGGUUUACGCGACGAACUUAAAAUUCGUUGGGGCCGUAAGGUUCCUGGGGGUUCAAGUCCCCCUCCCGGCACCA